RNAcentral lists this ribosomal RNA (433 nucleotides) under uncultured bacterium. RNAcentral describes it as "partial 16S ribosomal RNA". It matches the Rfam family "Bacterial small subunit ribosomal RNA", at positions 29 to 507 of the family's 1533-position model. The record is from RNAcentral.
AACGAACGCUGGCGGCAUGCCUAACACAUGCAAGUCGAACGAGACCUUCGGGUCUAGUGGCGCACGGGUGCGUAACGCGUGGGAACCUGCCCUUAGGUUCGGAAUAACUCCCCGACAGGGGUGCUAAUACCGGAUAAUGUCUUCGGACCAAAGAUUUAUCGCCUUUGGAUGGGCCCGCGUUGGAUUAGCUAGUUGGUAGGGUAAAAGCCUACCAAGGCGACGAUCCAUAGCUGGUCUGAGAGGAUGAUCAGCCACACUGGGACUGAGACACGGCCCAGACUCCUACGGGAGGGAGCAGUGGGGAAUAGUGGACAAUGGGCGAAGGCCUGAUCCAGCAAGGCCGCGUGAGUGAUGAAGGCCUUAGGGUUGUAAAGCUCUUUUACCCGGGAUGAUAAUGACAGUACCGGGAGAAUAAGCGCCGGCUAACUCCGUG